Molecule: ribosomal RNA, 440 nt
Filed under: uncultured bacterium
Lineage: Bacteria
Description: partial 16S ribosomal RNA
Rfam family: Bacterial small subunit ribosomal RNA
Source: RNAcentral
CCUACGGGGAGCAGCAGUGGGGAAUAUUGCACAAUGGGGGAAACCCUGAUGCAGCGAUGCCGCGUGCGUGAAGAAGUAUCUCGGUACGUAAAGCUCUAUCAGCAGGGAAGAAAAUGAUGGUACCUGACUAAGAAGCCCUGGCUAACUACGUGCCAGCAGCCGCGGCAAUACGCAGGGGGCAAGCGUUAUCCGGAUUUAUUGGGUGUAAAGGGAGCGUAGGCGGCAGCACAAGUCAGAGGUUAAAUCCCGGGGCUUAACCCCGGACCUGCUUUGGAAACUGUGCGGCUGGAGUGCAGGCGGGGUAGGCGGAAUGACUAGUGUAGCGGUGAAAUGCGUAGAUAUUAGGAGGAACACCGGUGGCGAAGGCAGCUUGCUAGACUGUAACUGACGUUGAGGCACGAAAGCGUGGGGAGCAAACAGGAUUAGAUACCCCAGUAGUC